This 1377-nucleotide long non-coding RNA is filed under the name Oryza sativa Indica Group (long-grained rice). Its description in RNAcentral is "lncRNA OsLiXu_Ung0073290". The record is from RNAcentral. Lineage: Eukaryota; Viridiplantae; Streptophyta; Magnoliopsida; Poales; Poaceae.
AUGUCCAGAUCCUUAAGUCCAGACACCCACCCCCGCCAUCGUCGUCAUCGCUCACCCUUGUCCCUGUCUUCCUCCCCGUUUCUCUCCUCUCCCUCAGAUCCACCAGCGUCCUUAGCUUCUCUAACCCUAGAGCUUUUCCCCCCUGGUCAGACCACGUCUCCGGUGCUCCCUAGGCCGGCGACUGCACCUUGGGAUGUCUCCUCUCCAGGGGAUUCGGUUCAAGAUUUGGUUGAGGUCAGCACAGGCAAGGUUCUCGAUGCAGAUCUGCUCAAUCCCGGGUCCGGCGCUGCUGCUGCGCUCGCUCAGUCCCUUCAAGGUCAUGGUUCGCCGGCAGGUGCUCAGGGAUUUAAGCGCCUUUACUCUAAGGUGCUAUCCGCUCCUCUUCGUCCUCCAGCUGCUAGUACCUCCCUCUUAACUUCGUUGCAGCCACCAUCCUCCCCUAUGAAGCCUACAAGCUCGCCUGCUGCAGCUGUAAAGGAUUUCAAGAUCCUCAAGAGUGGGCGAAGAGUUGAGUUGUCUUCUCAAAAUCUUUCACCUUCCAGGCAAGGUACAGGAGGCAUUCAAGUUAGUUCUGAUUCUUGGAAAGAGGUCAAAGGGAAGCAUUGGUGGAGAAAAUCCUCUGCAUUCAAUCCUCCCAACAACAAAGAGUAUCUGCAAUCAAGGAGGGCGCGCUUCCUGCAGCAUAUGGAAGGUAAAUGCUUCCGGUGUCCGAGCACAGAGCAUCAAGUGUUUGCCUGUAGAGAUCCCCUUCGGUGUUGGCGAUGUUUGAAUUUUGGUCAUCGAGCUUCCAGCUGUAGCAAGAAAGUGGACUAUAAAUCCCCUUCGGUUCCUCCUGGGCUAUCCACUGCAGCUUUCCCCCCUUUGGCUCCACUUCGCUUCCCUCCCCGCUCCCUCCCCACUCCCUCCAAACCUCUCACCAUGGAUGAUCUAACUGCUCGUCCUCUUCUUGAUUCUGUUGUGAUAUCUGCCACUGGUGAAAUUGAGAGGAAUAGAGAGCGAUUCUCAGCCCGUUCUCUUGUGGCUUGGCAAGUGGGGGCGAAUGAAGGAAAGGUUGAGCUCAACACUUUUGCAGAUGAUGUCCACUCAGCUUUUCGCAUCAGGCGCGCUGACAUUCAGUUCACCAAGUUUCACCCAGAAGACUUUUCAUCACUUGUUCAAAUCAGAGUGAUCGUGAUGCAAUUCUUCGUCAGCCCAGGCUCUCCACUGCCUCUGCCGCUUCGCAACCCGCCGCCGUCAGACACAAAGAAGGGGUGGACCUACAAUGUCCUCGUUCACGUGGAUACUCUUGAAGACCUCCUCACUCGCAAAGCCCGUGCCUACAAGUGGGAGUAUGAUGUCCAAGAUGACGGUACUCGGUACAAGGAGUACCCCCUGCCU